Molecule: long non-coding RNA, 1209 nt
Filed under: Nicotiana benthamiana
Lineage: Eukaryota; Viridiplantae; Streptophyta; Magnoliopsida; Solanales; Solanaceae
Description: long non-coding RNA (NBEN_LNC020322)
Source: RNAcentral
ACAAAAAUCAUAAGGCUUGCCUACCCAAAUAUUGUUGGCCUAAGCAUGCUACUAGCGUUAAACAAAACUAGUAGUAACAAAAUAGAAUUAGAACAUGUCAUCUACUAUCCAAUUCUGUUAAACUUAAUUCUCUUAAUUCUGUUUAAACUCCCGUGACCCACUCCUACUUAUUUCAAUUAAUUCAAUGACCCAUUAUUGUUUAAUUCGAAUUAGGCACCACCAUACAUCCAACCAGACAAAAGUCCCUAAAUUGUUACAAUUAAAUAUUCAACAAAAAUUCAACAUGGAAUAAUUAACACUAAUCAUAGGCAAAUCAGAAAAGAGAAGAACAGAAGUUAAAAGGGACCUUCAUAGCUUUGAAUUGCAAAACAUCAUCAACCUUGACCGGAACCUCAAACCGGAACUUGUUUGGUGCAAUGAACCAAGGUCGACAGCUUCAAAACUAUUGUCAACUCUGCUUUGAAUUCAAAUUUCUCGAAAAGAACUGGACAAGGGAAUUAAGGGAGAUCGAAGUGAGCUUAAAGGACAAAAUUUGUUGUUAGAACCUAAAUCGUUGCCGUUGGAAUUUCAUACGACUGUUCUUUUUCUUUUUGCACAUUUUCUUUUGAAAUUCUAUUCCAAUUAUUAGCCAAAGAUGAAGCCAAAAUCAAAUUCCCUUUUCCCCUAAAUUCUAUUCGUGGGCCUCUCUCUGUUUCGUGUAUGCGUGUGUGUGUUUUUUGGCUGUUCGGGAUCUAAAAAAAGGUGGUGUGGCUAACUUGUUAAGGAUCUGAAGCUUGGUGAAGGGAGGGGUGAACUCUACGGCUUUAUUGAGCUUUUUCGGCGAGUUUGUAUCUGGUGAGAGGCGGCGGCAUUCUGGCAUGGCGCUAGAGAUGAGAGAUGAGAGGAAAAAUUGAAUAAGAAAGGAACUAGUAGGGUCGUUGGGGGUUGGGUGUUGGACACGAUUGUGCGAUGGUCUCAUAGGUCUAGGAUUCUGGUGGGUAAACGUGGCAGCAACUGGUUUUGUUGUGAAGAAGAAGAGCCGCGAUAGUGUUGGCUGGCAGGUCGGUGCUGCUGGUUGUGGACGACAACGGCGCUGGUUUAGGAGGUGGAGGCUGUGUUUGGUGGUGUGGAAGAAGGUGACGGCUGGGGGUUCUCUCUAGGGUCAGAGUUUUGGGUUGUAAUUAGGUUCAUAUAUUAUCUUGAAAUAAAAUACGAGCCGUUUGAUUUAAU